Molecule: long non-coding RNA, 1463 nt
Organism: Anneissia japonica
Lineage: Eukaryota; Metazoa; Echinodermata; Crinoidea; Comatulida; Comatulidae
Exons: 3
Source: RefSeq, a predicted model, not a curated record
CAAUCAUCACCACUAUUUUAAAUAUUAAAUAGUGUACAAAAUAGUCAAACAACUUUAAAGAAUUAAACAUUAACGUGCGUGUCGACAUUACAAUUGCUUUAGAAAUAUGUAAUUUUUUAGAGCAAAGCACCAUAUACGGAAGGGUGAUCUCGAGAGUGGAAUUUGUCCUUCAAUAAACGACAAAAUGUAGGUUCAAAGUUGUUCACUAUAGUAGAAUCAAUUCAGAAUGUUCCUCCUUUAUAUUUAAUGCUGAAAUUCCAUAGUUACCUUUGAUGCUAGUCUCAACUCCAGAAUGUUGCUGAUGUGGAUGUAAGAAAGCAAAUAGACCUGUACCGUAAUUUUAGAAUUUUGAGGAAAUGGCUAUAUUGAAAUUUUAUAAGUCUGUAUAGACCAAAUCCUAAUUGUGGAAUGUUAUUUAUAACCCAAUUUUUAAAAGAGAUGAAGAUAACUUAGAGAAUGUACAGCAACGUGACUAAGAUGUUUCUUGAGGUUAGGGAUUUAUCAUAAGAGAGACUUUACAGAUACUAGAUCAGUUCUUUAAUUGUCCAUGGAAUUGAUGGGGUUUCAGCUGAUUUAUUUUUUUAAGAACUAGAGGAUGAUUCUAAAAUCAAACAUCAGUACUAUAGAACGCCACUAAGAUGUCGUGCCUUUUCAUUGGAUUAUGGGCUGUGGAAUUAUUCUUUGUCGAAUGACGAUGUUAAUUCAAAUUAAAUAAACAAGUAUAGGACUAUAUGCAAUUGGCAAUCGUUACUGAUCACCAGUCUUACAUUUGCACCAUACAUGAUUUUUUUUUCAAAACCGGGGCCUCAAAGCCUCGCUUUGCUUGAUCUCUAUAGCCUACCCAGGAGGAUCAGACGAAUCAAAGACUCUACUGGGACACAACUGUAAACAAGAAAAGUCAUUGCUAGAGGUGAAAGAAGCUAACAGCACAAUUGCGCUCAUCAAUGCCAUUGUAGAUUACUUGGAAGCUUGUACCAGUAAUUCAGUGCUGUCUGCUGUCGCCACCAUUCAAAAAUUAACAUACUCACUUCAGUCAUUCCAAAAUAAUCAAUUUACGCAGAAUCUAUGGAUGUUUACACUACUUGUUGUGCUAUUGCUGUCCGUGAUUCUAUUACUGUUUGUUUUUUACCGAGUUUAUCGACGUCACAGAAGAAAGCAGGUCCCUCGCGAGGACGAGGAAGACACAACUCCAUCAGAGCCUAAAAAUAAUCAACAACAAGCCGCAAUAAAACGAUAUCAUAAUCAGCUUUUUACAAACCAAAGAGCGGCAGGCAGUGGCAAAGCAGCUACAUCAGGCGAUGCGUCACGCACGCCGAGCACAAAAUAUACACAUAGCGAAAAACACGUGGAAGAAACACACACAGAUAGCAACCAACAGAAGAACUCACAAAAAUGCACUGUUGAUGUUCACAUGGAGAACACAAGGACCAAACAGAAGAACUCUUUGCAUUUGAAUGUGGAGA